GAAACUGCGAAUGGCUCAUUAAAUCAGUUAUCGUUUUUUUUUUUGUACCUUACUACAUGGAUGACCGUGGUAAUUCUAGAGCUAAUACAUGCUAAAAACCUCGACUUCGGAAGGGGUGUAUUUAUUAGAUAAAAAACCAAUGCCCUUCGGGGCUCCUUGGUGAAUCAUAAUAACUUAACGAAUCGCAUGGCCUUGCGCCGGCGAUGGUGCAUUCAAAUUUCUGCCCUAUCAACUUUCGAUGGUAGGAUAGUGGCCUACCAUGGUAUCAACGGGUAACGGGGAAUUAGGGUUCGACUCCGGAGAGGGAGCCUGAGAAACGGCUACCACAUCCAAGGAAGGCAGCAGGCGCGCAAAUUACCCAAUCCCGACACGGGGAGGUAGUGACAAUAAAUACUGAUACAGGGCUCUUUUGGGUCUUGUAAUUGGAAUGAGUACAAUUUAAAUCCCUUAACGAGGAACAAUUGGAGGGCAAGUCUGGUGCCAGCAGCCGCGGUAAUUCCAGCUCCAAUAGCGUAUAUUAAAGUUGUUGCAGUUAAAAAGCUCGUAGUUGAACCUUGGGCCUGGCUGGCCGGUCCGCCUCACCGCGUGUACUGGUCCGGCCGGGCCUUUCCUUCUGGGGAACCUCAUGCCCUUCACUGGGCGUGUUGGGGAACAGGACUUUUACUUUGAAAAAAUUAGAGUGUUCAAAGCAGGCCUUUGCUCGAAUACAUUAGCAUGGAAUAAUAGAAUAGGACGUGUGGUUCUAUUUUGUUGGUUUCUAGGACCGCCGUAAUGAUUAAUAGGGAUAGUCGGGGGCAUCAGUAUUCAAUCGUCAGAGGUGAAAUUCUUGGAUUGAUUGAAGACUAACUACUGCGAAAGCAUUUGCCAAGGAUGUUUCAUUAAUCAGUGAACGAAAGUUAGGGGAUCGAAGACGAUCAGAUACCGUCGUAGUCUUAACCAUAAACUAUGCCGACUAGGGAUCGGACGGUGUUAGUAUUUUGACCCGUUCGGCACCUUACGAGAAAUCAAAGUUUUUGGGUUCUGGGGGGAGUAUGGUCGCAAGGCUGAAACUUAAAGAAAUUGACGGAAGGGCACCACCAGGCGUGAGCCUGCGGCUUAAUUUGACUCCCCACGGGGAAACUCACCAGGUCCAGACACAAUAAGGAUUGACAGAUUGAGAGCUCUUUCUUGAUUUUGUGGGUGGUGGUGCAUGGCCGUUCUUAGUUGGUGGAGUGAUUUGUCUGCUUAAUUGCGAUAACGAACGAGACCUUACCCCGCUAAAUAGCCAGGCCCCCCCCCACGUCGCCGGCUUCUUAGCAGGGACUAUCGGCUCAAGCCGAUGGAAGUUUGAGGCAACACACAGGUCUGUGAUGCCC
Molecule: ribosomal RNA, 1355 nt
Filed under: uncultured eukaryote
Lineage: Eukaryota
Description: SSU rRNA
Rfam family: Eukaryotic small subunit ribosomal RNA
Source: RNAcentral